AUUGAACGCUGGCGGCAGGCCUAACACAUGCAAGUCGAGCGGAUGAAGGGAGCUUGCUCCUGGAUUCAGCGGCGGACGGGUGAGUAAUGCCUAGGAAUCUGCCUGGUAGUGGGGGAUAACGUCCGGAAACGGGCGCUAAUACCGCAUACGUCCUGAGGGAGAAAGUGGGGGAUCUUCGGACCUCACGCUAUCAGAUGAGCCUAGGUCGGAUUAGCUAGUUGGUGGGGUAAAGGCCUACCAAGGCGACGAUCAGUAACUGGUCUGAGAGGAUGAUCGGUCACACGGGAACUGAGAAACGGUCCAGACUCCUACGGGAGGAAGCAGUGGGGAAUAUUGGACAAUGGGGGAAAGCCUGAUGCAGCCAUGCCGCGUGUGUGAAGAAGGUCUUCGGAUUGUAAAGCACGUUAAGUUGGGAGGAAGGGCAGUAAGGUAAUACCUUGAUGUAUUGACGGUACCAACAGAAUAAGCAACGGCUAACUACGUG
This 484-nucleotide ribosomal RNA is filed under the name uncultured bacterium. RNAcentral's name for it is "partial 16S ribosomal RNA". It matches the Rfam family "Bacterial small subunit ribosomal RNA", at positions 30 to 507 of the family's 1533-position model. The record is from RNAcentral.